CAAUAUAUGCACACUAUCAAUAUUUGUCCUCAUCCUCUGACAGGAUUUCAAAUAUUUUGCUUUAUUUUGUUCUUCUGAGCAGUUCUGAGCACAACAACUAGUGAGGCAUGUCAGGUUAAGUAUCCUUCUCAAUCGAACCUGGACAAAUUUAGCAUAAAAGAAGAGAAGCAUUUCCAGCAGGUACAGAAUAAGUUAUAGGAUGUCUUGCUAUAAAAUUAGUCCAUCCAUACAACAUUAAAUAAAUCAUGUUAUAGCAUUAAAGCAACAUCUUGUGAAAAUUUCUUCUGAUCUUUGUUCAAGUGUAGCGCCACUCAAUAAGGUGAAUUAGAUGAAAACUCAUAACACACUUUCCUUCUGGUCAGAACUCCUAAUAUACAUUGCCUUGAAAUUCCGACUCUUUGUUACCUAUGAAAAAAACAGCAUUAUGUUAUUUCGUGUGGCACAUAAUCUUGCAUGCCAGAAAUGCCAGAUUUAACUAAACAAUGCCUUUGGAAUAGAUUCUGCAUCAAUGACAGUAUAAUUAAUCCCUCAUGACAGGUUACAUCUAGGAUACCUCAUUGCAUGAACACCCCCACACCAUAGCAAACAAAUGGUUGCAGCAACAUCAUUGUGAAGAACAGACUUUGCGAAAAUUCCUCCUGAGAUUGUUCACAAUGUAGGUCAUUGUUACACCUAAUUAAAUUACACAAUCCAUCCACACAACAUUAAACAAAACAUGGUUAUAGUGUUAGUAUGAAGCAACAUCCCAUGAAAAUUCCUCAUGAGCUCAUCUACAGUCUAGCACAAUUGGUAACAGAGUAACUAGAUGGAAACUAGUAAUAUAAAUCCUUUCUCGCACCUUUGACAUCUAGGAUUUCCCCACUGUAUCAACCCCACCACAGCCCCCCCCCCCCCCCCCCUUCAAAAAGGAAAAAUCUGUCCUCCUUCAUAAAAUUCUUCACAUUUCAUAAUCUUCAAUUAGCAAUCUAGUCUUCCAUUCCUUUCCAUCCUUGUUUUCUUCCAAGAUUCAUUUCCAUCCAACAUCAACAUCUCUGCUACAGUAAGGCUCGUAUCUGCUCGCCAACAUUCUGAGCACACAUUUGCGACCUUAUAGUGGCCCAUAACUUUCGCAAACAAUAAGCUUUAUCUUAUUUAUUAAUGGGUACACCAUUCAUACAAAUUCUUCCACAUCUUCACAAGUUUUUCACGGUCCACUCUUCAUACUUUCAGGAAUCUACACACCUAUAAUUAUUGCACUCCUGAUUUGGACUUCAUUAUACUUGACCAUACCAACAAAUGCUUUCCCCACCACUUUAACCUCUACAAGUCUAGAAUGUAAUAUCUCAAUGAUACCUUUCAGCAGGAGCACAAGGGCUAGAAAGCAUCCCUAGAUGAUUGAUAUGGACCUCAACAGGGAAUUUGAUUUCAAUCAAUGGAUGGAUCCCAUCAAACUCCCCCGACAAGAUAUGGCUUUUAAUUAAUUGGACCAGGACCACGGCUUCCAAAAGACUUAAUAGUGACUAGUAAAUACUCCCUGGAAUUAGAAAACAUCCCAUUAGCAAACCUAAUUGAUAGGGGAAAAAGUAAAGAAGAAGGAUAUAACUGAAUUUUUAAUUGCUUGGUCAAACACAUGACUUGAACAUGAGCGUAGAACCAAUACACAAUAACAUUUAAUAUUCUAGAUGUUAAUCAUAUCCACAAAGAAACGAGGGCUGGAUGUCAACUCCUGUUUGGAAACACUACAAAUAAUCUUACCAGUUCAAUUUUCAACAACCGCUCAGCCUUGUGGAGGCUCCAUCAUUAGUGCCCUUAAUGUUGUCGAUACCGAUAAUUAGCACUCUUAUAUGUUUUCUCCUUUUCAAUAUUUAAAAAAAUUGGAAUAUUCCUUUUCUUUUCCAGUCAUCACAUGUCUAAAUAACUUAAGAUCUGCAUCACCUGUCUUAAUAUUCUCUCCAUCUAAUCAAACUAGGUUCAGCAGUGGAGAUACUAUGCUCCAGUAGAUCAUAAAAUUUAUUCCACAUAAUUGGUGCAGUCUUGUGCAUGAUCUUUGCAUGUAUCUAGACAAUAGCCACAUCAUAAGAUCCAAUCUGUUCAGAGACAAGAUAUCAUCAUGAAGGUAAGGCCCUGUCUUUGCAACUGCACUAUCAAACUCUUUAUCUGCCACCACAACACAUGUCAAUUUAUUCAAUGAGCAUUUGAUGACUACACAUAAGAUUCAUGAUGUUAUAAAAGGACAGUACCAGACCCUGUUUUAACUCCAUAGUUACCAUUAAAAUUUGCAUUUACAUUAAAAUGUGAAUAGCCUGUUAUAAGGAAUGCUUUACAAAAAGUAGCAGGACAAAUUAAUGUAUCUUUUUAUUUUAGUUAAAGGUAACUAAAAAGAAUAGCAGCAACAGCAUUGAGCUUCUUAUAAUCAUAAAAGCUAGUAGAACAGAAGACAUGGUGUCUAGUCAACCUGAAAAAACAUCAAGUUUGGACUUCCUAUAGGUCAAUGUUAAACAACUUGCUUACUUCAGACAAAGUAACUAAACAUAUAUUGCAUAGAUGGGUGUGAUCAUACUCACCUACAAAAAAAUUGGAUAAUUAUCAUAUUUUAAGCAAUUCAUGUAUGCUGUCUUAGGCAUUCAAGAAUAAAUAUUGGUGAAUAGCAUAGAGGUAGGUAACACAAAUAGCUACUAGAGUUAAAUGGUUGAAAAAUGAGUUCCCAUUAUUGUGUGUGUGUGUGAGAGAGAGAGAGAGUUUUAUUCUUUAUGAGCAUGUCUAUAAAAGAUUAGCUUCACUGUGCCUACAUUUAGACUGUAGAGCAUCAUAUUGUACACAAUCAGUCUUUUAAAAGGCUAAAUCAGGGAUGAGGCCGCUCAGCCUCAAAAUACAAGACAUAAGCCUCAAGGCCAUUUAAAGCAUAAGCAGCAGAUUAAAGCAAAGCCUCAAAUUAAGACCAAUAAAUUACAGAUAACAGUAACACAAUGACAGGGUAUCCAGUGUAGGCUAUAAUCUUAAAUUUGCAUAUAGAAUAGGACAAGGUUUUAAAUCCUAUUGGAUGAAGGUGUCCCAGUUUCUCUAUAGAAUGGGACAUCCUAUGGUCACGUCUCGUCCCGAUAGCAGUCCCGGUCAUGCAUCCCAAUAAAUACCUCCAUCAUUCUCUCUUUCUUCUUUCCCUUUUUUCUUGUUUUCUUUUUUUCUUUCUUCCUUCUUUUCUUUUUUCCUCUACCUUCCUUUCUCUCCUACCUUUUUCUUUCCUUUUCUUCUUCCUUCCUUUUUUUUCCUCCAUUUUUCUUCUUUUUUCCUUUCACUUUUUCCUUUUCUUCAUCUUUCCUUGCUUUCUUCUUUUCUCCCAGCAUGAAUGGCUUUCAGAGUCCCGAACCUAUCCCAGUUCUAUUUUCUCAUAGGAACAAGAUGAGAAGGCCAGGACACCCCCUAUCCCGCCGGGAUGUAAAAAUUUGGAAUGGGGACGAGGAAAUGAAGUAAACCAGUUUACAGCUUUCCUAAGGCUGUUUUGGCCAUCAAGUAAGUUAUAAGCUAAGUUUUACAUUUCAAAACUUAAAGGGAUAGUAAAUGAGGAAACCAAGAGUUGUAUGCCUGUUUCUUGCCUUAAAAGUCAUUGUAAAGUGUAUGUUUUAAUUCAUAGAUGUAAGCCUUAGAAAGUGACCCCAAGGCAGAAGUCUUGGGCUGUUUUUUAACUGUCUCGCCUUGAGGCUUAAGCUUUUCUAAGCCCCAACGCUAGCUUCUAAAACCAUGUAUUAAGACAUAAAAUAUCAGGAAAGGAACUUAGUUGUGUACAUAAACCACAUGCUAUUCUAAUAAAGCCAGAGUUCCCUAGGUGAUACACAAUAAAAGGAUCACAAAUACAUCAUCAUGCAAGGCUAUAAGCUAUGCAGCUUCCUGAACUUUGGCAGGCAUUUAGGUGCUCACAGACCAGCCUGAGGAUACCCAGCUAUACCUGCUACACCUAAAGGCUAACACUUUGGCAGCAAAUUUUGACAACAUCGGUUGUAGUAAUAUGUAAUGGACUGUUCUCAACUGAUUUGCCAUUUGAGUAGAAAGAGUAAACCUUUUGGCAGAUCAUAAGAAAAGUAAACUAUAGCUCCAGGAGCAAAGCCAGCUGAAUAGAAAUCCUUUGAAGCAUCUUUGACUAGCUUCUUUGGAGGAGUGGUAUCUUGAAGCAGACAAAAAUAGUCAGGGUGACUUUCUGCAUGCAUAGACAGGAAUAGCUAUUUAUCUUGAUGAACAUGUAAACAUGACCUGAGGAGAUAAUAAAAAUGUUCAUGAUAUCUUUAAAUCCAAGCUACUGAUGUAGAUGCAGUUAUUUUCAAUAUUUUUGCAAAAUAUCAUGCAAGAAUAUUCAAUUUAAAUCAAGAACUACUAAAAUUAUAUAAUUUUACAGGGUUCACACACAUUAUGGAUCAUAGUUGAACCCCUAAGAUAACAUGACAAUUCAGUGGCAACCAUUGAACAGUACAUCACUAUUUAUGGGCUUGUCUUGGCCGGCUCAAGCUGUUCAUUGAUUAGGGAUGGUCUGCUGCAAGCAUGGCCAGUUAACAGCCCUAGGUAAAUCAGUAGCAUUUCUAGGAUUUUGGUGGCUGUCAAUCAAACUGAUUUGAAAAAUGGGGAGGUAGGAGUAUCUCAAAAAGAGAACACAGAAAGGAUUUUAAAAAGAGUAUACCUGAAGAUCAGGCAGGAAAAACAAAUUUUUGUGAAAAAAAAAAGGAUCUAAAACAAAUGCUACAAAAAUGGAGAUACUUGUAUUGGAUAAUGCAAAACAAUAGCACAUGAGACAGAGAUACAAGAUGUGGAUCAAUGGGCGGCCCCUCAUUUAUCCCCUGUUCAAAGCAGAAUGCAAGAUACUAGUAGAGAUGAUGGUGGAUCAGAUAACAGACAAUCUGAAGAUUUUGAUCAACGAUUUGAUCAUGAAAUGUUUAGCUCAAAACAUCAAACAAGGAUCUCCAAAGAUAGCUAGAACAUUAAGAUCAGUAAUAGAGGUAGGAUGAGUCAACAAGUAAAGAUCAAUUAGAGCUCCAGAGGGAGUCAGAGAGUUGCAGUUGAAAAAGGAUAUGAAAAGUCGAAAUCAAAAGAAAAGACAACAAUUGAUCCAAUAAAGGCAAUUGAUGAUGUGCAGGUUCAAGAUGGUGAUAGUGAGACACUCAAGCCCUCAGAUCUUGAAUUGCCUAGAUCAUCUCAUGAUAAUAGCGGUAAUGAUAAUGAUAGCAAGAAUGAUGAUAGAUCUGAUGAUCAUGAUGGUCAAAAUAGAGGGAGUAGUGAAGUAUAUGAGAUUAAUCCUUUUACUAAAGAAGCAUAUUUCACUUAUACCAUAUAGGACCAGGAUCAUGGAACCAAACCCAGAUCUAGAUAUCAAGACAAGGAGUUGCUAACCUAUAUAAGGAGUGAAAAAAAAAUUAUUGCUGAACGUGGCACACAAACUGUAAAUAUUUUGAAUCAUUUUCACGAAGAAUUGAGAAUAAUUAAGGAAUGUCAAUGUUGGACAUAUCCGAAGUUUAUGGAAUGGAUGGAACAAGAUGCUUUAAGAAGUAGGUCGGAGUCGAAAUAAGUUAGGUCAUCAUCAUUAACCAGAACAGGAUCCAUUAGAGCAUCAGAUAAUCAAAGUGCAUAUCAUGGUUCUUUUCUUUCUACGAAUGAUACAGAUGUAUACUCCCAAUUAUCAUAUCCUGAGAAAUAUUUUCAUAUGCAGUAUCCACCUUUAUAUGGAUACACUUUCGGACCACAGUAUGAUAUUAUCUCUCAUUAUCUUAACCAAAGAUGGGCAGUCUUUUAUCCAAGAUAGUCAAAGGUGAAAGAUGCCCUUAAGGCGCUGAGGAGGUCUAGUGCCCUGAGGCGAGAGGCGCUAGAAAAGCACUCGCCCGAGUGAAAUAAGACACUAAAAUUGAGGGACAAAAGCAAAAAAAAUGAUAUAUAAAUAAGUAACAACUAGAGAUAACUAUUGUAAUAUGAAUUACCAUACAAUUAACAAUUUAAGCAUAAAACAUAUAUAAAACAGAAAAAUACUCAAUUGGGUUUUGAUCUUCAAAAAAAAAGAAAAAGAACUGAGAACUGAAACAGAGAAGCAGAAUCAGAAAGCAAAAUAGAGAGAAGCAGAGUUGAUGAGGUGAAGAAUGAAGAGAAAGUGAGAACAACAACUGGAUUUUGAUUUUCGAACAUAAAAGAACCAAAAACUGGCUGUCGUGAGAAGCGAAACAAGAAAUAGAGAAAAACAAAGAGGAACGAAAUAAGGAAGAAGAAAAGACAAGUCAGGUCCAACAAAAGAAAAAAAAAUCAGCAAGAGAAAAGACUGAAACCAAAGUUUCAAGAACCGAUAUCAAGACCCAAAUCGAUUCCUGAUCGAUAUGGUACAAUAUCAGAUACCAUAUCGUAUCGAAUGUUGGUACGGUGUGGCAUACCGAUUUCAUACCAGUGCAUCAUAAAAAGUUUUUUUAUUUUUUUAAUUGAUUUUGAUUUUAAAUAAUUUUUUAUUAAUUUUUAAAUUAUUUUGUAUCCAAAGUAAUGUUUAUUUAUGUUAUAUAACAAUUUUAUCAUCCAAAAAAAAAUAAAAAAAGUCUAAAAUAAUACAUUAAAUAUAUCUAAAGUAUAAAUUAUAAAGAAUAAUAUACUAAUCUCAAGAUCUCUAUUGAUCUAAUCUCUCGUCGAUUGUCCGUGACGCUCGUAAAUAUCCGGAUCAUCUGCAUAUUCCGGAGGGACAUCAGCCCAUUCCUCUAACUAAGUAGCACUGUACUCUUGAAUAUUCAUCUCAUAAAGUAUCCUCUCUGGAUUGUAAGACAUCUCAGAUCUUUCGCUCAAACUCUGACUCUGAAAGGUAUCUUUGGGAUGAUGAUAUAGUUGUAAAGGGGCCCAUCCAAAUAUGCCAGCAGCAAAAUGCGAUUUGUAAGAUGCUCUGAGCUGUAUAUGAUAGUAGCCACUAGAAGAUAUAUAAAAUACACCAUAUCCAUGGAUCAUAAGCUGCCUGCGGAUGAUAGGAUCCAUGAUGUAAAGAUGAUCCAGAUACAUUCAUGGAUCCUACUUCACGUGCAAGGUCAUUUGCAGUUGCAUCAUGUGCUGGACGGCCUCUGAAAGGCCAUUGCCUAUAUGAAAUUGUAUUCUUGCGAGGUCUAUCAGCUUGUGCAUCGUGCUUUCUAUCUUGUGUGGCAUGUAUAAAUUGAGACUCAUCGGUGAAUUGAAUACCAUCCUAUGGUAGCAUCUCAUGAAUAGUGGUCUCAUAUCCUCUAGUCCCUCCCUGAUCAUCAGAUCCAAGACUACUAUCAUCACUCUCACUGCCGCUGAUCUCCGAAUUGGCUGACUCCUACACUCUCUAGGAUGCUGCAACUGUCUUUUUGAAAAAUUUAUCUUUUCGAGCUCCCUGAUGCCCCUCUGUGACUGAUUUUGCUGUAUUUGAAAAGAUGAAUAUCUUCUUCCUGCUUGAGAUGACCGACCUCGUCCCAAUAUUUAUCACUCAAACAUCUGAAAGGAUGUCUCGGAUAUAAAGUCACGUAAUGAAUGACUCCCCUGUGAUCCCUCAGACUGUGGCUGAACAAUUGGAAUCUUAUACGAAAUAUUUAUAUCUGCCCACUAUCUUGGAUCCACCCUGAUCUCUCUAGCUACCACAUUGGCUGGUUGUGGAGGGGAUCAAGGCUCAUCAAUUUUUGACUCCUGCUGCUGGCCUACAAGCCAUUCAAUCAUCGAAUCCUCAUUAUCAAUGGCAUAAACAUCUAUCGUCAGAUCCAUGUACUUCAGCUAUACUUCAUCCUGGACAUAUUUUAGCCUCAAUCUCAAAUUAUAGUGUACAUAUACAAGAUCAUUGAGAUACUUUUAUAUCAAACGAUUUCUCUAUUUACUGUAGAUAAGGGCGAAAGUCGAUCAAUUAAGCUCACACUCACUAGAGAAGACUGUCUGGAAAAGAAUGUGGAUGGCCACACUUUUCAAAUUUUGUACGGACUGUCCAAAUUAAAUCCACCAUUCAACUGUAGAAUAUUAAACAAAAUUACAUAUUAGAUUUUAUGAUAUUAAUCGGCAUAUAAUGUCAACAAAGUCCUCAGUACUAAUAUAUAAUUUAUUUGAAUUCAUCUUCUUUUUGCUUACGACAGUCGAUGAGACUCCAAAGCUAUCUGUCUUCUCUCUAAACUAUUUCAUCUGUCAAAAAUAUAUUUAUUAAAUUAAUAAAUAUAUUAUUAAUUACAGAUCGAAUUAAGUUAAAUGGUCGCAUCUUAAUUGACCUAAAUCCCUUUUGCAGAUAUAUAGAUGCGAUUUCUGAAUCAGACACCAUCUUAUAUAUCACAUUACGGAGAGCAGUAAGAAGCUUAUUAUCCACAUCUAUCCCAAAUAUGAUGUACUGAAAUCUCGGAUUCAAAUAGUACGCAGAAAAUAAAUUCCACAAAUGAUUAAAUAGAUUUAUACAAAUACAAAAAAAAAUUCAGAUGAUUCUUGAAUUCGUGCUUACUAGCUAGAUGCAAAUCUCUACCCAUUUAAUAGUCCCAACGGCGCUCAAUGAUAUUGAUGUAUCUCUAAACAUGUUUUAGAUCUAUCUCGCUGAUGUGUUUCUUUACUCUUUCCAUUAUAUGAUAUAAGAAAUCUAUCUGGGAGUAUCUUUCACUAUCGACGGUGCGAAGCACCUCAUAUAAUGGUUUGAUAACCUUCACUAUCUUAUCAGUCUGUUAUCAGAAUGACUGGUUGGUCAUCAAGUUCUUCACAUGACUUCUAUCAGUACCGACUCUCACAUAUCUGCUUUCCUAUCAUUCGGCACUGAUGCAAGGCUGCCUUCUUUUGCAGAAGGCUAUCAAAUGCUAUGUAGUUUAUAGCAAACCGUAUAACACCCGAUCUCAAGAUCUCUCCCCCAGUAUAUUUUUGCAUCAAUGACAGGACCCAUGUAUGAUUGUAAAUAAACCUAGUAAUAGACUGAGCUGAGUCUAUUGCAUGCUGUACUCUACGAAGCUUUCCAAUAACCAUCAACAUGAGGUCAAUGCAAUGUGCAGCAAUGAUGUCCAGUAAAUGUACAGUCGCUGCUCCAUCAGUAACUCACCGAUGGCCUUAUAUUACGGCCCAUUAUCUGUGAUGACCUGCACGAUAUUCUGCUCUCCUAUUGAAUCAAUCACCUCCUCCAUCAGUCUAAAGAUAUAUGCAGCGUCGUGCACCCUAUCUAAAGCAUUAAUUGAUUUAUAAAAAAUAUUUUUCCAUCAUAAUAUAUCACAAAAUUGAUGAUACUCCAUCUAGUAAGACUGGUUCAACCAUCACACAUCACCAUCAAUUCAUAUAUGGUCCAUUUAUUCUUGUAAAAAAAAAUUCAUCUUUCCAAAUAUUUCUUAUUACUAUCAAGAAGCUGAUCAUAGAUAUCUCUAGGUGUUGGAGGAUCUACACCAGGACCGAUAGCCUGUAUGGCUGAAAUGGCAGAUCGAUAGUGAGUAUUGCCUGCUGCAUUCGUUGGAAUAUGACUAAAAUAAAACCAUCAUCCAAUAGCUCACCACAUAUCUUUCUUCAACAUAGUGUCAACCCUCUGUUGUUUUAAAUCUUUACUGAAAAAAGUCUGUAGAUCCAAAUAAUGGAUGGUGGCUCCUAUUGGAAUGUCUCUAGAGAACCUCCUCCUACUGCUAAAAGCCCCCAAUAUCGAUGAAAUAUUAUGUCUGCCUCUACGGACCGACUCUCUAAUAGAGAUGGUCCUGAACUCAGACUCUUUCCUAGCGAUUACAGAGUCAGACCUCGAUUCAUAGAAUGACAGUCUAAAUCACUCUCUAUAUCUGGUCAUCACCUCCAACCGCUAUUAAUCAUCCAGACUCACCUGAAUGGUAGCCUCAAUCUGUGCCUCCUCAUCAUCUGGAGCAGAGGCCUCCUCUGACUCUGUAGAAUGAUAUGAAGAUGACUCUUCGACUUGACGAUCCACCUCCAUCCUCUUCUGCACUGCCCUCUACUUCGCUGCUUUAGAAUCAGUGAAGUACUUCGUCAUGAGCUGUUGGACCUCCUGUGGAUAUUUUUGAUAUAUGAUCAAAUCAGGAUAACCACUAGCCAAAUGCUGCUUCAACCUAGUCAUCCAUCCUUUUUUGAACUCUAUGCUGCACCAUUUGCAUCUCCAAUGGUGUAGAGCCGAAAGCAUCUCGCUACGGUCACAGUCAAUGUUACACUCUGACUCCUUACUCAUUUCUACAAGUUUAACAAAAUAGGAUAAUUUAAUAAUCAUAAAAAAAAAUAAUACUCAUUUCUCAUAAUUUUUAUUUAUAUAUAAAUUUUAAAAUUUUAAUAAUAAUUUUAAAUCUCAUCAAUUCAAAAAAUAUAUUAUGAACUUCAAAUAAUAAUUCUGAAUUAGCUAAAAUAUAUUAUUAAUUUUAUAUAUUUUUAAUUAGUUACAUAUUUUUAAUUAUUUAAAUAAUUAAAAAUAUUUUUAAAUUUUAAAAUUUAAAAAAUAUAUUUGAGAUUAGAUCCAAGUAGAAACAUGUCAUAGAUGCUACAUAUAUUUUUCUAAACCCAUUAACAUGCAUUGGAUACUAUUUAUUUUUUAUUUUAUUUAAAAUUAAGCCUACGCUAUUAUGCAUAUCAUGCAUUAAAAUUUUCACAAUCAAAUAUAAAAUUUAUACUAAAAAUAAUUUGAAUCAUCCUAAACAAUAUUUUGAUUUUAUAAUUUUUUGAAAUUUAUUUUUUAAUAAUUUUUAUAGCAAAAAUAUAUAUAUUUAAAAAAUUAAUUAAUAAAAAUUAAUGAUUUUAGUGUCAUCAUGUAAAUGAUCCAAUGAUCUACAAAAAAAUUUUAAAUAUCGGUACUGGACCCGUGCCAAUUAUCGAUCGGUACGGUGCGGUAUGAUACGAUACCGUACUGGCCCAUACCUAUAAUAAAAAAUUCAAAAAAAAUUCCAUCCAAUAGUCAGAAAAAAAAUCAAGCCAUACCCCGCCGUAUCGGUGCUACAUAUAUUUUUAAAUAAUUAAAAACUAUAUAUAUUUAAAUAAUUAAAAACUAUUUUUAAAUUUUAAAAUUUAAAAAAAUAAUUUGAGAUUAGAUCCAAGUAGAAACAUGUCAUAGAUGCUACAUAUAUUUUUCUAAGCUCAUUAACAUGCAUUGGAUACUAUUUAUUUUUUUAUUUUAUUUAAAAUUAAGCCUACGCUACUAUGCAUAUCAUGCAUUAAAAUUUUCACAAUCAAAUAUAAAAUUUAUAGUAAAAAUAGUUUGAAUCAUCCUAAACAAUAUUUUAAUUUUAUAAUUUUUUUAAAAUUUAUUUUUUUAAUAAUUUUUAUUACAAAAAUAUAUAUAUAUUUUAAAAAAAUAAAUUAAUAAAAAUUAAUGAUUUUAGUGUCAUCGUGUAAAUGAUCCAAUGAUCUACAACAAAAUUUUAAAUAUCGAUACCGGAUCCGUGUCAAUUAUUGAUCGGUACGGUGCAGUAUGGUACGAUACCGUACUGGUCCGUACCGACAAUAAAAAAUUCAAAAAAAAUCCCAUCUAAUAAUCAGAAAAAAAUCAAGCCGUACUCCACCAUAUCGGUGCGGUACCAUACCGGCCCAUACCACACUGUACCAUAUGGUUCGGUCCGAUUCAAGUCAUUUUUUGAAAAACCAACUUGAACCGAACCGAUUCCCCACUGAUACGGUACAGUACAAGGUGUAUCGAUCAGUUCGGAUCGGUAUGGAAUACCAUGAUCUACAAUAUAUAAUGAAAUCAUAUCAAAAUCAUAAAUUUUGACAUGAUUUCUCCCUAUUUUUCUACUUCUUAUCAUUUUUUGGCCAAAAAAAAUAAAAAUAAAAUUUUAGUGACAGAAUGAUGGAUUACCUUACUUUCGGUCAAAAUAUGUCGUCUUCUCGAAGAAGUUGUGAAAAUUUUUUGAAAUUUUUCCUCUUUUUUUGGGCUUCGUUCAUGUGUGUCAUCACCCCAUUGAAGCUUAAGAGCUUCUCAGGCUCUCUGCCUUUCAUUCGAAAGGCAGAGCACCAGGCCACCAAUUAUUGGGAGCACCCACCCCACAAACAUCUCCCCACAUGAUCGGUAUGGCUUGGUUCGGGCCCGAACCGAGCCAUACCACCUGGUUUCAAAUAGUUUGUGCCUAAACUGUUCCGAACCAAUCGGUUUGUGCCUAAAUCGAUUCGGUAUGGUUCGCAUCAUUUCUCAAAAAUUAGGGCCGAAUCAGACCGAUUCUCCACUGGUUCGGUUCGGUACAGGGUGUACUGGUCGAUUCAGAUCUAUACGGAAUACCUUGACUGAAACCAAUGAUGGAAGAAGAAAAAACAAGUUAGGUACCUAAAAAGCUGGCUAUUGUGGUCCCCUUCUGCACAAAAAACAAGUUGGGUACCUGGAAGGCUGGCUGCUGUGGUCUCCUUCUGCAGAAAAAACAAGCUGGGUACCUAGAAAGCUGGCUGUUGUGGUCCUCUUCUGCCUCCCUUUUCUUGAUAGACUCCUAUGGUCCUUGAUCGCCUCCCUUUUCUCUCAAUUUUCUUUUGUUUAAAUAAUAAUAAGUCAAUAAAGUCAAAACUAAUUUUUUCAUACUAAUUGACCACUUUACCUCCUAUUAGUAAUAGAGUUGAGAAGUUAAAUGGAUGGCCUUUUAGAUUUUUUACGCUUUUUAUCCAUUAAAAAAAUAAUAAUCAUAGAAUUCACUGAAGCACCCAAGCCAAGCGCCUCGCCUCAAUGAAAAAGGCCCUAAAAGGCGCCAAAGGCAUGCACCUGAGUGAAGGUGCAUCACUUGAAGCAUCAAGGGACGAUGACCCCUUCUAGCACCUUGCUUGAGUGCCUGAGAUGCACCUUUUGGCGCUUUUGACAUCACUACUCUUAUCCAAUGUACUAUCAAAAGGAUUAUCACAGACAACAUCAAAUACAAGAUGAGCAAUAAAGAUGGGCUCAAUAUCAAAAUUGGCAUCCUAUUCAAGACCCCAAUUAUGAGCAGGACCCAAAUGUUUAUAAGCAUUAUAGAUAUUCCACCUUGAAUUAGUAGUAAAUUUAAAAAGUUUAUCUUAAACUAAUAAUCUAUUUUGUGUAGUAUUGAAAUUAUUAGCAUAGUUAUAUUUUCAUAUACAAGUGAUUAAGCUCAAAUAUUAUGGAUUAUAGCUUUUUCAUCAAACUUUGAUAUUUUUACUUUAUCAAAUACUCAUGGAUGCAUCAAUUAUGAGAGAUCAUUGCUUCAUAAUCAAAAAAGAAUCUUCAAUAACCUGAAAGAUUAUAAUACAUCAUAGCGUUAGUAUUAAAUAGAAUCGAUUUAUUAUAAAUAUAUUGCUUCUGAAGUUCAUAUAUAUUUAAACAAUAAAUAGAUUAGUAGAACUUCAAGAUAAAUUCAAAAAAGUAAUAUAUUUAUAUAUAAAAAGACAUCCCGGUACACGUCCGAUCAGGAUGGCCACCGAGAUAGGGUAGGAUGCGGGGCAUCUCGUUCUGAACAAAAAAUUGAACACCCCUACCCCAGGAGAUUUAAAACAUUAGAGACAAUAACUCAUUCCUUUGCAUUUUUUAUGUUCUUUUAACUCAUUCACCCAUUCAGCUUAUCCAAUAAGUAGGAUCCGGCAACUUCACGAUAUUCACUUUCCUUUAGGCAUUGUCUCCAAAGGUAUCAAAGUUUUACAAAAACUUGAUAUUCAAUCUCCAUAUUUCAGUCCUCCACAACCCCUUUUCUUAAUGAGACAUUGUUUUAAGGUUAAAUAUCUGAAUCAUCUUUGAAUUCAAAUUCUUGGUUCGCAGCUCAUGAUUAGGUCGAUGAGGAUACUAUUAAAAUGCUAAAUUGUUUGUUAGUUUUAUGAAUACCAUUAAAGUGAGUAUUUACACCAAUGCACAACCAUCACAAUCAAUAGUCACCAUAGGGAUGAAAAUCUGAGAGAUGUUUACCAACGAAAGCUGACAGUGACACAUGAGACAUACUGUUUGCAAUCAAAAAUUGGCAAAUAACACUCCCGAGUGCAACACGUACUUUAGAACUUUGACUGAUGCUGAGGUUCCAAUGUAUAUGAAAGUAAAGAGUGAUUUUAUUGACUAGGAAUGAAAAACUGGACAGGACAAUAUAUGACAGAUGGAAAUGAAUAGAUUUCCUUGCUUACAUCCAAUAAGAUAUCAUCAAGUUCUCAAUGCAGGGGUUAUUAGUUAUCAUAAACUAACAACAACAGCAGGGGAUUAACUUGGCAAGAGGCCUUUGCUCAUUCACUUUCCUUCUAGCAUGAAUAAGUUAGAACUUUCUGGGCAAUCCCAAGAUACUAAGUACAUUUACCAAGCCUGUUUUAAACUCUCUGUGUCAAAAAGCAAAACUUAUUCUUAUGGCAAUUGAUGAUCUCCAGACACCAACACUUUCUACUGGAAACUUAGCAAAACAAGAUUGAAAUUCACAAAGACCGUAACUUAAUUCCAGAUAUAUUGUAGAUUCAACAUAUAAUAUGGCUUUUUAACUUGAUUAUUCCAGCCAAGCAUAGCCUAAGCAUUCCAAGAGGAGGGAGAAAAAUGGAUCUGCCUGGCUGUAUAUGGAAAUGUCUGUCAACAGAAAGCCAAGUUCACAUCUCAAUGCAUCAUUUCUUCCAACAUAUCAAUAGAGGAAAUUUUCUCUCCAUGGUUUAGAUUCCUUUUUCUUUUUCCUUCAGUGAUGUUAAGCCUAAUAUUCCAAGCUCAUCCAUUGCAAUAUUUCCCUAGGGAACAGCACUCAACUUGGAAUUUGGCUUUAUUCUCACACCGACUUAGCACAUACAAGAAGCUCCUUAGUUAAUAACCUUUUCAAUUGCUCACACAUUCUACCAAUGUAAACUGGGAUUCAAUUACAGUCCAAUUAGGGAUUCCUUUGAUCCCACCAGUUAAGGGGGGGAAAAACCAUGAAUCAGACGAACCAUUUUCCAUGUCCGAAUAUAUCAACCAAUUUCAAAGGCGAUGGUUUCCAAGGAUGGAACUAUGAAUAAGAAAUUAGAAUUAGCAAAACAAAAUAAAAUUUAACAAUUGAAUAUGAAGAAAAACUACUUAAAAAGGUUUUCCUCCCAUAAACUGUAUCAGUUGCAUAUUCUAUGACCUAUUUAAUAUUUCAAGAAUUGGUGGAAUAAAGUUCUUUGUUUUAUGGCUGUUGCAUUUAAUUCCAAUAGUUCCAUAAAUAAGUGUCUGGCACUCUGGCCAUUCAUAAAAUAUUUAAAAAGACAAUUUUAAUUUUGGACAGGCAAUAAGUCUAACAAAGUGGGGCUUGCAGCGAGGAAGAGGUAUCCACCAUAAUGUCAAUAUCUUACAAAGCAUACUUUCUUUAGUGGUAGAAAGGCAGGUUAUCACAAGAGCAUCUAGAAACUCCCGGCUUAGGAGUAAAAAAGCUGAUUGCCAUGUAAAAAACUUAUCGCCUUCAAGUAACUCAAAGAGUCAGGUCAAGUCAACUUGUUGAGAACGAACUCUAGAUAUCUUAUCAUUCACCGAGAAACCACUAGCAUGCUCGACUUACUUUUAAAGCACUAAGACUUUGAAAGCAAAAAAAUAAACUUUUAUACAAAAAAAUCCAUGGGUGAGCAAUUAAAACAUUUUCUCAAAUAAGAGAAGAUCUACAGCAGUUUAUUAGUAAGGCAAGAAAAGUAUAUUUCACCCUAUACUUAUAUGAGGUAGCAUCUUCAUCUUUUGAAAUGAUGUGUUCAACUUGUGGAAGAUCAAAUUCAUCCAAACGCAAGAGAAGUAGGCCAAAAUCAAAUCCAAUCCAGCUCAUCACAAACCCAAGCAAGCUCAAAUUUAAUUUAGAAGUUAAAGCUAGAUUGACUUAAGACUUGUGAGACCAUAUCCAGCCCCUUGGAAUCAAACAGAGUUGACUUCAUAUUUCCUUAUAUUCUAUCUUAAAAUUACUAUACUCAAAGCUGACACAAGCAUAAGCCAUAUUCACCCUUAUUUGAGUUAAAUAAAUAGCUAAUUUCAUGUCUAAAUCCUAAAUCAUCACCCAGCAUAGGUGAGGUUUAGUUCAUGCCAAUUCCAAACAUGACUAGACCCAUUUACACCAAUACUUCUGCCUAUACAUUUUAUCUGACCCUCUUUAUUGUGCUCCCUGCAAUCAGAUGAUUUUGUGUCAAGUAUUUACCAAACACCAGAUAUGAAACGAAGCAUUUCUCUUGAAUGCAGCUUCAUGCAGGCACUUUCUUACCGAGCCCUAUAAAAAGAAACUGUAGUAGCAACAUCAAAGAUGUAUAUUUACAGUGAAGGAGUCUAGCAGAGCCCACCGUUGUUUUUGCAGUGAAGAAACAACACUAAUUUUAUCCAUGAGACUUCAAACAGUGCCCUCAUGUCCUUGUGAGUUAUGACAGCAAGAAACGAAACUAAGUUAAAAUCGAAUAAUGUUUUUUUAAAAAAAAAGCAACCAAUGACUCCCUGGAAAUUCACAUCAAGCUGCCAAUUCUGAUGGAUUUUAAAAGCAGCAAAAUCAUAGCUUACUUCUUUACCCUAUGAUCCAUCAAACACAACUCAAAACCGCACUUGUUUAAAAGCCGAACUCUGAAGACGGCCAAGUUUGCCAAAUAUUUUGAUGAGCGGUUUCCUCUGUUUGGCCCACUCGUAUCUCUCGUACUCAAUACUAAAAACAUAUUGAUCAACAAAUCUAUCAAUCACAUUGCCUUUCGAGCAAAACCAAAAUUUGAUCAAAAACCCACAAAUCCCCGAAACUUCAACAGAAAUCUAAGCACGAUUGAUUUGAUCACUCGAUCCCCACACGGAAUUUCACAUAACACCCAAGAAAACAAACACUAUCAUUGUAGAGACCAGAGAUUGCAUCCAGCGUACAAAAGAACAAGCAUCCAGAGUGGAACACAGUAAGCGAAUAGAUCAGUCUAAAGAAGAACAAUUAACUAACGAGAGAGAGAAGAAGACGGGCAGAGAAGACCUUGGCUUGGUGUGCCUCCAUGGAUCUCAGUCUCAGUAGUUUCUUCUCGCUUUGGGAAUCGAAGGUGCAGAGGUUCCCCGAUUUAAAAGAAGGCGGAAGGGGUUCUAUGUGCUAUAGACCAGCCGCAAUGGUGGGCCAGCGGCGAACAUUGCAGGGGAGCCUCUCCAUUACCG
This 16885-nucleotide long non-coding RNA is filed under the name Elaeis guineensis (African oil palm). RNAcentral's name for it is "long non-coding RNA (EGUI_LNC004557)". Lineage: Eukaryota; Viridiplantae; Streptophyta; Magnoliopsida; Arecales; Arecaceae. The record is from RNAcentral.